RNAcentral lists this ribosomal RNA (450 nucleotides) under uncultured bacterium. Its description in RNAcentral is "partial 16S ribosomal RNA". It matches the Rfam family "Bacterial small subunit ribosomal RNA", at positions 354 to 796 of the family's 1533-position model. The record is from RNAcentral.
GUGGGGAAUUUUGGACAAUGGGCGCAAGCCUGAUCCAGCAAUGCCGCGUGCAGGAAGAAGGCCUUCGGGUUGUAAACUGCUUUUGUACGGAACGAAACGGUCCGGGUUAAUACCCUGGGCUAAUGACGGUACCGUAAGAAUAAGCACCGGCUAACUACGUGCCAGCAGCCGCGGUAAUACGUAGGGUGCAAGCGUUAAUCGGAAUUACUGGGCGUAAAGCGUGCGCAGGCGGUUUUGUAAGACAGGCGUGAAAUCCCCGGGCUCAACCUGGGAAUUGCGCUUGUGACUGCAAGGGUGGAGUGCGGCAGAGGGGGAUGGAAUUCCGCGUGUAGCAGUGAAAUGCGUAGAUAUGCGGAGGAACACCGAUGGCGAAGGCAAUCCCCUGGGCCUGCACUGACGCUCAUGCACGAAAGCGUGGGGAGCAAACAGGAUUAGAAACCCGGGUAGUCC